Molecule: ribosomal RNA, 253 nt
Filed under: uncultured bacterium
Lineage: Bacteria
Description: partial 16S ribosomal RNA
Rfam family: Bacterial small subunit ribosomal RNA
Source: RNAcentral
UACGAAGGGUGCAAACGUUAUUCGGAAUCACUGGGCGUAAAGGGUGCGUAGACGGUAUGUUAAGUUCGUCGUUAAAGGCUCCGGCCUAACCGGAGUACCGCGAUGAAAACUGGCGCACUAGAGGGUGAGAGAGAGAAGUGGAAUUCCUGGAGUAGCGGUAAAAUGCGUGGAUCUCAGGAGGAACACCAAUGGCGAAGGCAGCUUCUUGGCUCAUUCCUGACGUUGAGGCUCGAAAGCGUGGGGAGCAAACAGG